UGAAUACGAGAUGCUACGGCAUCGAAGCAGUCUAUGUCAUACUUCCAAGAAAAGCUUGCACUGUCAUAAACAAAUAAUGCCUGUACCAUAACCGACACAGGUGGGUAGGUAGAGUAUACUAGGGGCGCGAGAUAACUCUCUCUAAGGAACUCGGCAAAAUGACUCCGUAACUUCGGGAGAAGGAGUGCCUUAUUUUAUAAGGUUGCAAUAACAAGAUCCAAGCAACUGUUUACCAAAAACACAGGUCUCCGCUAAGUCGUAAGACGAUGUAUGGGGGCUGACGCCUGCCCAGUGCCAGAAGGUUAAAGAAGUUGGUUAGCAUUAGCGAAGCUGAUAACUGAAGCCCUGGUGAACGGCGGCCGUAACAAUAACGGUCCUAAGGUAGCGAAAUUCCUUGUCGGGUAAGUUCCGACCCGCACGAAAGGCGUAAUGAUUUGGAUACUGUCUCGGAGAGGGGCUCGGUGAAAUAGACUUGUCUGUGAAGAUGCGGACUACCUGCACCAGGACAGAAAGACCCUAUGAAGCUUUACUGUAACUUGAGAUUGAAAUUGGACUUUAUUUGCGCAGUAUAGGUGGGAGACGUUGAAAAUAUUCUUGCGGGAAUAUUGGAGUCAUCAGUGAGAUACCACUCUUAUAAUGUUAGAUUUCUAACUUUGUAUCAUUAUCUGGUCAAAGAACAGUCUCAGGCGGGCAGUUUGACUGGGGCGGUCGCCUCCCAAACGGUAACGGAGGCGCACAAAGGUUUCCUCUGAACGUGUAGAAAUCGUAUCUAGAGUGUAAAGGCAUAAGGAAGCUUGACUGUGAGACCUACAAGUCGAGCAGGGACGAAAGUCGGUCUUAGUGAUCUGACGGUGCUGAGUGGAAAGGCCGUCACUCAACGGAUAAAAGUUACUCUAAGGAUAACAGGCUGAUCUCCCCCAAGAGUUCACAUCGACGGGGAGGUUUGGCACCUCGAUGUCGGCUCAUCGCAUCCUGGGGCGGUAGUACGUCCCAAGGGUUGGGCUGUUCGCCCAUGAAAGCGGUACGCGAGCUGGGUUCAGAACGUCGUGAGACAGUUCGGUCCAUAUCCGGUGUAGGCGUUAGAAUAUUGAGAGGAGCCUUCUUUAGUACGAGAGGACCGGGAAGGACAUACCUCUGGUGUACCAGUUAUCGUGCCAACGGUAAACGCUGGGUAGCUAUGUAUGGAGAGGAUAACCGCUGAAAGCAUCUAAGUGGGAAGCCCACCUCAAGAUAAGUA
Molecule: ribosomal RNA, 1237 nt
Filed under: metagenome
Description: bacterial LSU rRNA
Rfam family: Bacterial large subunit ribosomal RNA
Source: RNAcentral